UAAUGGGUCAGCGACUUAUAUUCUGUAGCAAGGUUAACCGAAUAGGGGAGCCGAAGGGAAACCGAGUCUUAACUGGGCGUUAAGUUGCAGGGUAUAGACCCGAAACCCGGUGAUCUAGCCAUGGGCAGGUUGAAGGUUGGGUAACACUAACUGGAGGACCGAACCGACUAAUGUUGAAAAAUUAGCGGAUGACUUGUGGCUGGGGGUGAAAGGCCAAUCAAACCGGGAGAUAGCUGGUUCUCCCCGAAAGCUAUUUAGGUAGCGCCUCGUGAAUUCAUCUCCGGGGGUAGAGCACUGUUUCGGCAAGGGGGUCAUCCCGACUUACCAACCCGAUGCAAACUGCGAAUACCGGAGAAUGUUAUCACGGGAGACACACGGCGGGUGCUAACGUCCGUCGUGAAGAGGGAAACAACCCAGACCGCCAGCUAAGGUCCCAAAGUCAUGGUUAAGUGGGAAACGAUGUGGGAAGGCCCAGACAGCCAGGAUGUUGGCUUAGAAGCAGCCAUCAUUUAAAGAAAGCGUAAUAGCUCACUGGUCGAGUCGGCCUGCGCGGAAGAUGUAACGGGGCUAAACCAUGCACCGAAGCUGCGGCAGCGACACUAUGUGUUGUUGGGUAGGGGAGCG
This 624-nucleotide ribosomal RNA is filed under the name Escherichia coli. RNAcentral's name for it is "partial 23S ribosomal RNA". It matches the Rfam family "Bacterial large subunit ribosomal RNA", at positions 613 to 1238 of the family's 2925-position model. The record is from RNAcentral. Lineage: Bacteria; Pseudomonadati; Pseudomonadota; Gammaproteobacteria; Enterobacterales; Enterobacteriaceae.